UUUCCACCCUCAGAAUCACAAGGAUGCUGCCGCCCUUUGUUCCCCACCCACAAAAUCCCUAGCUUUCCUGUUGUUCCCCACGCACGCCGCCGCCCCACGCCGGCCAAUCCCCAUGCCUCCCACCGCCGCCCCAUGUCGUCGGGGGCUACCGCCGGUCUAUCCCACUAUCGCCCCAUGCCGCCCUGCCUCUGCAUCACCAUCCCACGCCGCCCUUCCUCUGUAGCACCGCCCCACACGAUGCCCCGUCCCCACAGCCCCGCCCAAUUCCGACAUGCCUCUCCACCGUCGGCUCCACACCCUCGGGCUCUCUCUCCGUUUAACCGCCUCUCUCCAACCUCCCUGGCCCAACCCCCCAUCUCCAUCGUCCAGCUCAUGAAGACACACGCAGUGGCGGUGGCGGCGAAGAUUUGGAUCUGGGCCGCGUGUGGCUGGGCAAGGACAUCCCUCUCUGUCUUUGGCUGGGCAAGGGCAUCGAUGCGGCUGAGGUAGAACAGAGGACAGAUGCUGGUAACGCUGAGCUGACAAAGAGAAGUAGCAGAAUAUUUGCUAUGCCACUGUAGUGCAUAAGGCAGCGUGCUGAUGUUGCUUCAUUACUUCUCCAUAGAGCAUGGGGAGCUUUUAUCGUUCUUGGAUUUCAUAAAAUAGAAGAGAUGACAGAAAUGGGGUGGGAGGUAUGUGGAAACAGAGCUUCUUACUUGUGGUAGUAGACGACUAGGCAGUUCAUGCAGGUCAGCCCUCAACACCUGACUCCCUUGAUCGGUGUCUUCCUCUUCUCCACUCAUCUAUAGAAGUGAGCCCAACAAAUACUAUUUUUGGCUGAGGCUAGAAUCUUGCACCGGAGCAUAAAACGUUUAGUUGUUAAACAUGUUUCUGUAACAAGUGAGCUAUCCAUCCUGACCAUGUAGGAGUAACACAUUAACUGAUGGGUGGUGCUUUCAGGCUCUGGAAACAUUACUUGAUGUCUCUGUACUCUGGUAUGGGAUGGUGCACUUUUAAUGAUGAAAAGAAUGGCACGCACUCCAAAUAUAUUCCUAGAAAGUGGAUUAACUGAAGAAGAAUCUACUACAGAAGUAAGAUCUGGUUACAAUCAAUCUGAAAGGCAAAAUGAAUUCUGUGUGUGGGGAACAACAUAGCAGGUGAAUCUUAUCUGAACAGGGACGUCUUCCUCAUCCCGCCACUUAGGAAAGACAUAAAAGACCAGGAAGGAACUAUGGAGAUAGUUUGCGUCAACUAGAUAGUUUGUGUAAGGUGCAAAAUAAUGCACCGUUUGGCUAUCAUUUUGUAAGCCUUUAUGUUGUAUUGUCAACUGGAUAUUUUGUACAAAAUCAAUGACAUGCAUCUAUUAUUGUAUCUUGAUUGAUAUUUUGUUGGAUGUUAUUGUAAUGAGAUAUUUUAUGUGACUUUAUU
Triticum urartu is the source of this 1407-nucleotide long non-coding RNA. RefSeq lists it as uncharacterized. The record is from RefSeq and is a predicted model, not a curated record. Lineage: Eukaryota; Viridiplantae; Streptophyta; Magnoliopsida; Poales; Poaceae.